Molecule: ribosomal RNA, 483 nt
Filed under: uncultured bacterium
Lineage: Bacteria
Description: bacterial SSU rRNA
Rfam family: Bacterial small subunit ribosomal RNA
Source: RNAcentral
AGUGAACGCUGGCGGCAGGCCUAAUACAUGCAAGUCGAACGGCAGCACAGCAGAGCUUGCUCUGUGGGUGGCGAGUGGCGGACGGGUGAGGAAUACAUGGGAAUCUGCCCAGUCGUGGGGGAUAACGUAUGGAAACGUACGCUAAUACCGCAUGCGCCCUACGGGGGAAAGUCGGGGACCGCAAGGCCUGACGCGAUUGGAUGAGCCCAUGUUCGAUUAGCUAGUUGGCGGGGUAAAGGCCCACCAAGGCGACGAUCGAUAGCUGGUCUGAGAGGAUGAUCAGCCACACUGGAACUGAGACACGGUCCAGACUCCUACGGGAGGCAGCAGUAGGGAAUAUUGGACAAUGGGGGCAACCCUGAUCCAGCCAUGCCGCGUGAGUGAAGAAGGCCCUCGGGUUGUAAAGCUCUUUUGUCCGGAAAGAAAAGCAUCUGGUUAAUACCCGGGUGUUCUGACGGUACCGGAAGAAUAAGCACCGGCUAA